GAUGAACGCUGGCGGCGUGCCUAAUACAUGCAAGUCGAGCGAACAGAUGAGGAGCUUGCUCCUCUGACGUUAGCGGCGGACGGGUGAGUAACACGUGGAUAACCUACCUAUAAGACUGGGAUAACUUCGGGAAACCGGAGCUAAUACCGGAUAAUAUAUUGAACCGCAUGGUUCAAUAGUGAAAGACGGUUUUGCUGUCACUUAUAGAUGGAUCCGCGCCGCAUUAGCUAGUUGGUAAGGUAACGGCUUACCAAGGCAACGAUGCGUAGCCGACCUGAGAGAGUGAUAGGCCACCCUGGAACUGAGACACGGUCCAGACUACUACGGGAGGCAGCAGUAGGGAAUCUUCCGCAAUGGGCGAAAGCCUGACGGAGCAACGCCGCGUGAGUGAUGAAGGUCUUCGGAUCGUAAAACUCUGUUAUUAGGGAAGAACAAAUGUGUAAGUAACUAUGCACGUCUUGACGGUACCUAAUCAGAAAGCCACGGCUAACUACGUG
Molecule: ribosomal RNA, 497 nt
Filed under: uncultured bacterium
Lineage: Bacteria
Description: partial 16S ribosomal RNA
Rfam family: Bacterial small subunit ribosomal RNA
Source: RNAcentral